CCUACGGGCGGCAGCAGUGAGGAAUAUUGGUCAAUGGGCGGGAGCCUGAACCAGCCAAGUAGCGUGAAGGAUGACUGCCCUACGGGUUUUAAACUUCUUUUAUAAGGGAAUAAAGUGAGCCACGUGUGCCGUUUUGUAUGUACUUUAUGAAUAAGCAUCGGCUAAUUCCGUGCCAGCAGCCGCGGUAAUACGGAGGAUGCGAGCGUUAUCCGGAUUUAUUGGGUUUAAAGGGAGCGUAGAUGGGUUGUUAAGUCAGUGGGGAAAGUUUGCGGCUCAACCGUAAAAGGGCAAUUGAAACUGGCAGUCUUGAGUACAGUUGAGGUAGGCGGAAUUCGUGGUGUAGCGGUGAAAUGCUUAGAUAUCACGAAGAACUCCGAUGGCGAAGGCAGUUUACUAAACUGCGACUGACACUGAUGCUCGAAAGUGUGGGUAUCAAACAGGAUUAGAUACCCUAGUAGUC
Molecule: ribosomal RNA, 460 nt
Filed under: uncultured bacterium
Lineage: Bacteria
Description: partial 16S ribosomal RNA
Rfam family: Bacterial small subunit ribosomal RNA
Source: RNAcentral